RNAcentral lists this ribosomal RNA (253 nucleotides) under uncultured bacterium. Its description in RNAcentral is "partial 16S ribosomal RNA". It matches the Rfam family "Bacterial small subunit ribosomal RNA", at positions 524 to 776 of the family's 1533-position model. The record is from RNAcentral.
UACGGGGGGGGCAAGCGUUGUUCGGAAUUACUGGGCGUAAAGGGCUCGUAGGCGGCCAACUAAGUCGGAUGUGAAAUCCCCAGGCUUAACCUGGGAAUUGCAUCCGAUACUGGAUGGCUUGAAUCCGGGAGAGGGAUGCGGAAUUCCAGGUGUAGCGGUGAAAUGCGUAGAUAUCUGGAGGAACACCGGUGGCGAAGGCGGCAUCCUGGACCGACACUGACACUGAGGAGCGAAAGCCAGGGGAGCAAACGGG